GCCGGGCGCGGUGGCGGGCGCCUGUAGUCCCAGCUACUGGGGAGGCUGAGGCAGGAGAAUGGCGUGAACCCGGGCGGCGGAGCUUGCAGUGAGCUGAGAUCGGGCCACUGCACUCCAGCCUGGGCGGCAGAGCGACUCUGUCUCAAAAAAAAAAAAAAAUCUACUUCAACGAUAACUUUUUUUUUUUUUUUUUUUUUUGAGACGGAGUCUCGCUCUGUCGCCCAGGCUGGAGUGCAGUGGUGCGAUCUCGGCUCACUGCAAGCUCCACCUCCCAGGUUCACACCAUUCUCCUGCCUCAG
Molecule: signal recognition particle RNA, 299 nt
Filed under: Macaca mulatta (Rhesus monkey)
Lineage: Eukaryota; Metazoa; Chordata; Mammalia; Primates; Cercopithecidae
Description: Metazoan signal recognition particle RNA (ENSMMUG00000058723.1)
Rfam family: Metazoan signal recognition particle RNA
About the family: The signal recognition particle (SRP) is a universally conserved ribonucleoprotein. It is involved in the co-translational targeting of proteins to membranes.
Source: Rfam by way of RNAcentral